GCGCACGGGUGAGUACACGUGAGCAACUGCCGGGAAGCCGGGAUAGCCCUCGGAAAGGGGAUUAAUACCGGAUGUGGCACCCUGCGAUGGAGGCGAAGCUAAAGGAUUAUUCACUUCCCGAGGGGCNGCGGCCCAUCAGCUUGUUGGUGAGGGUAACGGCCCACCAAGGCGACAACGGGUAGCUGGUCUGAGAGGAUGGUCAGCCACACUGUAACUGAGACACGGUCCAGACACCUACGGGUGGCAGCAGUCGAGAAUCAUUCGCAAUGGGGGAAACCCUGACGAUGCGACGCCGCGUGGAGGAUGAAGGCCUUAGGGUUGUAAACUCCUGUCAAGGGGGAAUAAGCAAGUGAAGGUACCUCUAGAGGAAGGGGCGGCUAAUUCCGUGCCAGCAGCCGCGGUAACACGGAAGCCCCGAGCGUUGUUCGGAUUCAUUGGGCGUAAAGGGUGCGUAGGCGGCGCGGAAAGUCCGGCGUGAAAGGCAGGGGCUCAACCUCUGGACUGCGUUGGAUACUUCCGUGCUUGAGGACUGCACGGGAGACUGGAAUCCCCGGUGUAGCAGUGAAAUGCGUAGAUAUCGUGAGGAAG
RNAcentral lists this ribosomal RNA (588 nucleotides) under uncultured organism. RNAcentral's name for it is "bacterial SSU rRNA". It matches the Rfam family "Bacterial small subunit ribosomal RNA", at positions 98 to 707 of the family's 1533-position model. The record is from RNAcentral.